UUCUUACUUAACAUUUUACUUGAAACUUGAAACUUAUAAUUUUACAGGAGCAGUACCAGUCCUACUAUUAUGUGAAAAUGCAGAGAAUUGAUGACUAUAGAGUAAACUUUAAAAAUGCUUUCAAGGUCUUCCAUUUCACUUGUUGAUGAUGAAGUGUUAGUACUUGAUGAAGUUGAUGAUGAAUUUGACGUUGAUGAUGAAUUUGAUGAUGUUGACGAAGAACGUGAUGAAGAGGACAAAUUCGGUGAAGAUUUUGCUGAUGGUGAUCUAUCUCUGUUACAAGGACGAUUAUUUCCUUGAUCAUUAGUUGAAGUUAAGUUAAUCUUUCUUUUGUUACCAUAGGAAGCUUUUGGUCUAGUUGGGAUUCUUAUCAUUGGGGCAUGUUGGUCGAUGAUAAGACUGUCUACAUUUCUAAUGUACUCUUGCAGAAUCUUCUCUGCCUCCACCCUCUUGCACCAGAAACUGUGUGAUACCUUACAAAGUCCUGUCUUGAUGUGUGGCAAUAAUUUCCAGGGGUAGUUCGUAAAAAGAUCUUCCCACAGUUUAUACAUUUGUUACUAAUUUGGCUGUGCUGCUCAAUCAGAUGCGAUCGACAUUUGCCUCUUGUUGUAAAGUGAAUGUGCCCACAGAUUUUGCAAGUAUAUCUUUUCUGGAAGCAAAAAAAAAUGAUUAAGUACAAUUUCUCAAUAUUCUAACCCAUAUUGCAUUACAGUGUAUAAUCAUAAUGUAUUUUACUUCUAGCAAUGUCGUUUUCUUUUAAUAGGUGCGAACACAGAAAAGACUGGAGAACUUCGGACUGGUAGAUAACACAGGAUGGCUGUAAAUUGAAUGUUUCGUUUCAGCAUUUUCUAAUUCAGGCUGUCCAAAGACAAGAUCAAUUGGGAGCCUUAUUUCAGAGCCAUAGACCAUAGAUGCGAGUGUGACACCAAUGGCUUCAUGUACAGAACUACGAUGGGCCAUUAAACAUAAAGGU
Molecule: long non-coding RNA, 973 nt
Organism: Mercenaria mercenaria
Lineage: Eukaryota; Metazoa; Mollusca; Bivalvia; Venerida; Veneridae
Exons: 3
Source: RefSeq, a predicted model, not a curated record